GCAGUCGUACGAGAGUUUAAAACUCAAGUGGCGGACGGGUGAGUAACACGUAAGAAUUUACCUUUAGGAGGGGGACAACAGCUAGAAAUGACUGCUAAUACCCCAUAUGUUUUCGAAUGAAAUGGAUUUUUCCGCCUAGAGAGAAGCUUGCGGCUGAUUAGCUUGUUGGUAAGGUAAUGGCUUACCAAGGCGACGAUCAGUAUCUGGUUUGAGAGGACGAUCAGACACACUGGAACUGAGACACGGUCCAGACUCCUACGGGAGGCAGCAGUGGGGAAUUUUCCGCAAUGGGCGAAAGCCUGACGGAGCAAUACCGCGUGAGGGAUGACGGCCUAUGGGUUGUAAACCUCUUUUUUCAGGGAGGAAUCAAUGACGUGUACCUGAAGAAUAAGCAUCGGCUAACUCCGUGCCAGCAGCCGCGGUAAGACGGAGGAUGCAAGUGUUAUCCGGAAUCACUGGGCGUAAAGCGUCUGUAGGUGGUUUAAUAAGUCAACUGUUAAAUCUUGAGGCUCAACCUCAAAAUCGCAGUCGAAACUAUUAGACUAGAGUAUAGUAGGGGUAAAGGGAAUUUCCAGUGGAGCGGUGAAAUGCGUAGAUAUUGGAAGGAACACCGAUGGCGAAGGCACUUUACUGGGCUAUUACUAACACUCAGAGACGAAAGCUAGGGUAGCAAAUGGGAUUAGAUACCCUGGUAGUCCCCU
RNAcentral lists this ribosomal RNA (701 nucleotides) under uncultured phototrophic eukaryote. RNAcentral's name for it is "bacterial SSU rRNA". It matches the Rfam family "Bacterial small subunit ribosomal RNA", at positions 57 to 800 of the family's 1533-position model. The record is from RNAcentral.